This is a long non-coding RNA of Zalophus californianus (California sea lion), 391 nucleotides long. RefSeq lists it as uncharacterized. The transcript is spliced from 3 exons. The record is from RefSeq and is a predicted model, not a curated record. NCBI's taxonomy places the organism in Eukaryota, Metazoa, Chordata, Mammalia, Carnivora, Otariidae.
AGCAGCGUCCGCAGCUGGGACACUCCCAGACGCCCCCGUCUCCGGACGCACCAGCGGCCUGCAGAGAUGUCCGAACGGCAGAACGGGGGCUCCAGCUGGAGCCGGGGUCAGAAAAUGCCCCUUGCGCGCGGCGGCCUCGGCCCAACACUCGAAAUGGGUCACCAAGUCAACAGUACUUUCGGAGUAGGACGGAGCCGAGUUGCAUUCUUCGUGGCCGGCCGCCCGCGCUGGCAGAGCCCACGCAGAGUGAAGUGUGUCACUGGUAGUACCUGAGGUGAUUUAAAUGGUACAAGGAGCCGGCACUAAAAGACCAGCUUAGAAGAGAGUGGUAACAGCUAGGUGAGAGUUCUGGAGGUCAGAAGUCUAAAAGUGCCUUGUUGACAGGGAUGCA